Aegilops tauschii subsp. strangulata is the source of this 2950-nucleotide long non-coding RNA. RefSeq lists it as uncharacterized. The record is from RefSeq and is a predicted model, not a curated record. NCBI's taxonomy places the organism in Eukaryota, Viridiplantae, Streptophyta, Magnoliopsida, Poales, Poaceae.
AUCCUUCCAUGUGAGAUCGUAUUUUUUGUUUUUCAUGGUUUUGCAGCAGCAGCAGCAGGGGUUGUGGUAUCUAUGGGGCAGAGGUCGUCUAGGGGAUGCUAUGAACCCAACUAAGGUCCUGAUGAUGGUUUCUAAAACAGUGAGAGUUGCGGGGAGAGCAGUGCUCAUGUUUUAGCCUUGUUUAGUUGUAUUGCACUCCAGAUUUGAUCUUGUUUAGUCUUUAGUAAAAAAAUCACCCAACUGCUUCAAGUUUAUUCAAUCUUAGCAGUAAUACAAAAAAUCAUUAGUUAUCAGUGUUUUUGUGUUUAAUCCAAUCUUAUCUAUCAUUUUUUUGUCAGCCUUCUUUCUCCCUGUUUUUAGUUCUCAGUUAUCUAUUUUUUUAGAUCAUUGGUUAUCAUUCACAUGUCAGUGUGUUUGUAUUUAGUUUAUCAUUCAGCUUUGUAUUUAUUUUUUGUCUGUCAUCUUCUUCUAGUUGAUCAGUCCAUAUUGUCUUUCUUAUCGGUUUUGUCAUUAGUAAUUAGUUAUUAGUCUUGUUUUGUCCUCUAUGUUAGUUAGUUCAUCAGUGUAUUUAGUUUUUAGUUAUAAUUUAUAAUUAUUUUGCCUUACUAUUUAUCAUUUUCCAGCUUCCAUAUCAUUCUUCAUUUAUCAGUCAUCUGCAUUGUUUCUUUCUCCCUGUUUUUAGUUCUCAAUUAUCUUUUCUUGGAUCAUUAUUUAUCAUUCAUAUGUCAGUGUGUUUGUAUUUAGUUUAUCAUUUAGUCUUUGUAUUUAUUUUCUGUCUGUCAUCUUUUAUUGUUUUCAGUCUUGUUCAUCAGUUCCUUUCAAAUUUUUUUGCUCAAACUAAUCUUUGUGUAUUUUUAAAAUUAAACCGUAUCAGUCUUCCAUUUUUUAGGUCGGUCAGUUUCAUUCUUUGUUUUCAUCUAGGUGUAUUUGUUUAUAUCUAGAGCUCCCAAUUAACCUAAUUUAUGAGAAAAGUUUUCACGGUCCAAACAACGCCUAAGUUGGUUUCGAUUAUGAGGCUAUGCCUUUUUUAAAAUUAUGGUUCUAAAAGCCAGGGCACACGUGCAACGCAUUUUUCAGUGUCACGCUAGCGAAAGCCUUUUCAUUAAUGUGUUCACUUAUUAGGUCUUCAGUCAUUCGAUUGUCAUCUUGAGUCGUUGUAGUUCACUUAUUAGGUUUACAGUCUUCUUUUCUCUUCUGCUGUCUGUUUUAUUCAGUCAUUGUUGUUCAAAUUUCCUCUAAUUUUCUUCAGUUUAUUCAAGUAUAAUUUUUCCUUGAUCUUCUUUUGCUUAGUUGCUCUUAGUUCUAGGCCAUACAGAAUUCUUACUCACUCUUAGUUUUAGUAAAUCUACAUUUAUCAACAGUUUUUUAUAGUUUGUUUUUACACAUAAUUAGUUAACCCUAGGUGUACUCAUAUUGGAUCUUACAUGCUUAUUCCUAUCUAGUUUUCGGUCAGAGACCAGAUGAAAGUAGUUUUCAGACUAGUAUUACUAUAUAUAGAAGAAAGGUCAGCCAGCAUAGCGCUGCAAGUUCGACAUUGUCUGCUCGCGCUAGGGAUGGAAUGGAAGUUGUCAUAAAUUAUAUCAUGGGAUCAGUGCUCCUUUUUCUAUGAGCUUGUAUCAUUUAGCUAUUAUUCAGUUUCUUGGAGUUUAGGCUUGGAAUGGAUUCGCUAUACCAUGGAUCAUGUGUUAACUUGUAUCAGUGUUGUACUGGCCUCUCAUACUUAUAUGAUUUGGAUGAAUAAGGUAACAAAUUUUUUCUUUUGCAUCAUUGUCCUUUCAUACAUUUCAGAUUUUGAUGAAUUGCAGGAGAUCCUUAUAUUAUUUCUUCAGUGUUUUAUCAGUCAGUGAGCUAGAACCUAGUUCUUGGUUAGUUUAAUCUUUCUUCGGUUUCUAUAUGUUCCUAGGUGAAUUAUCAGUACUGUUCAGUGUUACAUUCGGUGUUUCAUUACUUUCUUUCUUCAGAUUUGUCCAUGCUUUUCAGUUGUGAUAUAUGGCACUUUUGCAAAAAAAAAUCUUCAGUUCUUCAAAUUUUCUAUCCAGUUUUUUUUCAUUGUCUUAUAUCUCUUACUUUACUUCAUUUACUUUUUUGUACUCGUAUAAUUCUCAUUUCCUCAUUCUUAUUCUUCAAUCCUUUCUUUUUAUAUGACUUACCACUCUUUCAAUCUUUCGCCCUAUUCAUUUAAUUUUACCGAAAAAGGGUUUCCCCCCGCUUUGUAUACAAAGCAACCAACCGAACCAUACAGGGAUAGGUGCUAGGAUGGAAGCAGCACAGUCACGCCCAAACGAAACGACAGAGAAAAGCAAAAGAAACAAUUGUAGGUGUUAUUUAAUUAUUUAAUUGAACGGUUCAGGGUUUGAAGAUGUUACUUAGGAACAACCAGAAUUGUUCGAUAUUUCUCUGCAAAUAAAAGAACCACUUGAUAUUAUAGAAGACAGGUGUCGACCAUUGCUGACUUUUUGAUUGAAAAGGCAGCAAGUAUUUUAGGGUACCACAUAGUGCGAAGACACACAAUACGAGAGAGCAAGUUGCGUCAAUCUCUGAGAGAUCAUCAAAGUUCAGUUCGACUACUGUACGACAUGUCACCUUCUGACAUCAGCUGAACACUGCUAUAACUAAAUGCCAGUCUAUAGUUGGCCAGCUAUCCCUGAAUAACUGGAGAAGGCAGGUCCGUAGUUUGGGUAUAGUCUAGUUUGAGUACUAAACAGAAGUGUAUGUACACAGCAAGGUCUUUGUUCAGGUUCAGAUAUACUUGUACUGUUUAGGUUUCAGAGAAGUGCAUGUAAACCAUUAACUGAAUUUAGGAUUCUUGUGUCCACGGCCAAGGUCUAUCAGCACAAAAGGCCAAGGUCACUAGUUUAUUUUUUACAUCUUUGUUUCAGUGUUGUAAUCAGUCAUCUUUCUCUCUAUCAUUGGUCAUUCAGCUUUCAGUUAUUAGUUUCAUGAUUAGUCA